RNAcentral lists this ribosomal RNA (502 nucleotides) under uncultured bacterium. RNAcentral describes it as "partial 16S ribosomal RNA". It matches the Rfam family "Bacterial small subunit ribosomal RNA", at positions 28 to 507 of the family's 1533-position model. The record is from RNAcentral.
GACGAACGCUGGCGGCGUGCCUAAUACAUGCAAGUCGAACGAACCGCGACUAAGUGCUUGCACUAAGUCAAGGUGAGUGGCGAACGGGUGAGUAACACGUGGGUAACCUACCUCAUAGUGGGGGAUAACAGUCGGAAACGACUGCUAAUACCGCAUAGGACAUAGGAUCACAUGAUCCAGUGAGGAAAGGUGGCGCAAGCUAUCGCUAAGAGAUGGACCCGCGGUGCAUUAGCUAGUUGGUAGGGUAAAGGCCUACCAAGGCGAUGAUGCAUAGCCGACCUGAGAGGGUGAUCGGCCACAUUGGGACUGAGACACGGCCCAAACUCCGACGGGAGGCAGCAGUAGGGAAUCUUCCGCAAUGGACGCAAGUCUGACGGAGCAACGCCGCGUGAGUGAAGAAGGUCUUCGGAUCGUAAAGCUCUGUUGUUAGAGAAGAACAGCGCAUAGAGUAACUGCUAUGCGUGUGACGGUAUCUAACCAGAAAGCCACGGCUAACUACGUG